CUACGGGGGGCAGCAGUGAGGAAUAUUGGUCAAUGGGCGCGAGCCUGAACCAGCCAUCCCGCGUGCAGGAUGACGGCCCUAUGGGUUGUAAACUGCUUUUCUAUGCCAAGAAACCUGAUUACGUGUAAUCAGUUGCCGGUAGCAUAGGAAUAAGCAUCGGCUAACUCCGGGCCAGCAGCCGCGGUAAUACGGAGGAUGCAAGCGUUAUCCGGAUUCAUUGGGUUUAAAGGGUGCGCAGGUGGGCUUGUAAGUCAGUGGUGAAAUGCUGCCGCUUAACGGUAGAACUGCCAUUGAUACUGCGAGUCUUGAGUAUGGUUGAGGUAGGCGGAAUGUGUUGUGUAGCGGUGAAAUGCAUAGAUAUGACACAGAACGCCAAUUGCGAAGGCAGCUUACUAAGCCAUUACUGACGCUGAGGCACGAAAGCGUGGGGAGCGAACAGGAUUAGAUACCCGCGUAGUC
This 459-nucleotide ribosomal RNA is filed under the name uncultured bacterium. RNAcentral describes it as "partial 16S ribosomal RNA". It matches the Rfam family "Bacterial small subunit ribosomal RNA", at positions 339 to 795 of the family's 1533-position model. The record is from RNAcentral.